RNAcentral lists this transfer RNA (73 nucleotides) under Streptomyces mirabilis. RNAcentral's name for it is "tRNA-Gly". It matches the Rfam family "tRNA". From Rfam's summary of the family: Transfer RNA (tRNA) molecules are approximately 80 nucleotides in length. Lineage: Bacteria; Bacillati; Actinomycetota; Actinomycetes; Kitasatosporales; Streptomycetaceae. The record is from RNAcentral.
GGUCCUGUGGAGCAGAGGCAGACUCACCGCCCGUCCAAGGCGGAUACGCCGGUUCGAAUCCGGUCAGGACCAC